RNAcentral lists this ribosomal RNA (1233 nucleotides) under Notolychnus valdiviae. Its description in RNAcentral is "16S ribosomal RNA". It matches the Rfam family "Bacterial large subunit ribosomal RNA", at positions 619 to 2570 of the family's 2925-position model. Lineage: Eukaryota; Metazoa; Chordata; Actinopteri; Myctophiformes; Myctophidae. The record is from RNAcentral.
UUUAGCCAGUAUGCCUGAGCAUAGGGAACUUUAGUUCAGCCCCCCGAUACUAGACGAGCUACUUCAAGAUAGCCUAUGUUGGGCAAACCCGUCUCUGUCGCAAAAGAGUGGGACAAUCUUCAAGUAGAGGUGACAAACCUAUCGAGCCUAGUUAUAGCUGGUUGUCUGAGAAAUGAAUAUGAGUUCAGCCUCCCGACCCCCCUUAUCCAAGACAUCCGUCUCCUAAGAACAAGGGCGACCGAGAGAGUUAGUCAAAGAGGGUACAGCCCCUUUGAAAAAGGACACAACCUCCCUGGGAGAUAAAAGAUCACAGUAACUUAAGGAAACUUGUACUAGUGGGCCUAAAAGCAGCCACCUAAAGAAAGCGUUAAAGCUCAUACAAACACCGACCACUAAUACCGAACGAUUCUCUUCACUCCCCCCACACUAUCAGACCCUCCCACAAACCAUGGGAAAGACCCUGCUAAAAUGAGUAAUAAGAGCGAACUGCCGCCUCUCCACCGCAUACGUGUACCUCGGAACGGACCCACCGCCGACAAUUAACGAACCCCCACCCGAGGGGCAUGUAAUACUACCCAGAUAACAGGAAAACCAAACACACAACACCGUUAACUCAACACAGACAUGCAUGCCAGGAAAGACUUAAACAAAGGGAAGGAACUCGGCAAACAUAAGUCUCGCCUGUUUACCAAAAACAUCGCCUCUUGCAAAACGAACGAAUAAGAGGUCCCGCCUGCCCAGUGACAUUAGUUUAACGGCCGCGGUAUUUUGACCGUGCAAAGGUAGCGCAAUCACUUGUCUUUGAAAUGAAGACCGGUAUGAAUGGCAUCACGAGGACUUGACUGUCUCCCCUUUAAAGUCAAUGAAAUUGAUCUCCCCGUGCAGAAGCGAGGAUACACCCGUAAGACGAGAAGACCCUAUGGAGCUUAAGACAUAAAGUGACCCCCUAAAAGGAAGAAAACUUGGAGGGACUCACCGAAAUGUCUUCGGUUGGGGCGACCGCGGGGAAAGACAAAACCCCCGCAUGGACUAAAGCUACCCUUGCUUUAAAACCUAGACCCACCUGUCAAAUUAACAGUACUUCUGACCACUAAGGACCCGGCCUACGCCGACCAAUGGACCGAGUUACCCUAGGGAUAACAGCGCAAUCUCCUACCCGAGCCCUUAUCGAAUAGGGGGUUUACGACCUCGAUGUUGGAUCAGGACAUCCUAAUGGUGCAGCCGCUAUUAAGG